GACGAACCGUGCGAACGUUAUUCGGAAUCACUGGGCUUAAAGCGCGUGUAGGCGGGCCGCCACGUCGGCUGCUGAAAUCCCCCGGCUCAACCGGGGAAGUGGCACCGAUACGAGCGGCCUGGAGGGGGGUAGGGGGGACUGGAACUUCCGGUGGAGCGGUGAAAUGCGUUGAGAUCGGAAGGAACGCCCGUGGCGAAAGCGAGUCCCUGGACCCUUUCUGACGCUGAGACGCGAAAGCCAGGGGAGCGAACGG
Molecule: ribosomal RNA, 253 nt
Filed under: uncultured bacterium
Lineage: Bacteria
Description: partial 16S ribosomal RNA
Rfam family: Bacterial small subunit ribosomal RNA
Source: RNAcentral